Molecule: ribosomal RNA, 483 nt
Filed under: uncultured bacterium
Lineage: Bacteria
Description: partial 16S ribosomal RNA
Rfam family: Bacterial small subunit ribosomal RNA
Source: RNAcentral
GACGAACGCUGGCGGCGUGCUUAACACAUGCAAGUCGAACGAUGAAGCGGGUGCUUGCCCUCGUGGAUUAGUGGCGAACGGGCGAGUAACACGUGAGUAACCUGUCCUUUUCUUUGGGAUAACGGCUGGAAACGGCUGCUAAUACUGGAUAUUCAGGCUGCAUCGCAUGGUGUGGUUUGGAAAGGUUUUUUCUGGGAUUGGGUGGGCUCGCGGCCUAUCAGCUUGUUGGUGGGGUGAUGGCUUACCAAGGCUUUGACGGGUAGCCGGCCUGAGAGGGUGGUCGGUCGCACUGGGACUGAGAUACGGCCCAGACUCCUACGGGAGGCAGCAGUGGGGAAUAUUGCACAAUGGACGAAAGUGUGAUGCAGCGACGCCGCGUGGAGGGUGUAGGCCUUCGGGUUGUGAACUCCUUUGUCUCGCGAAAAAGGCACAGUUUUGGCUGUGUUGAUGGUAGUGGGGGAAGAAGCGCCGGCUAACUACGUG